RNAcentral lists this ribosomal RNA (487 nucleotides) under uncultured bacterium. RNAcentral's name for it is "bacterial SSU rRNA". It matches the Rfam family "Bacterial small subunit ribosomal RNA", at positions 501 to 987 of the family's 1533-position model. The record is from RNAcentral.
CUACGUGCCAGCAGCCGCGGUAAUACGUAGGGUGCGAGCGUUAAUCGGAAUUACUGGGCGUAAAGCGAGCGCAGACGGUUACUUAAGCAGGAUGUGAAAUCCCCGGGCUCAACCUGGGAACUGCGUUCUGAACUGGGUGACUAGAGUGUGUCAGAGGGAGGUAGAAUUCCACGUGUAGCAGUGAAAUGCGUAGAGAUGUGGAGGAAUACCGAUGGCGAAGGCAGCCUCCUGGGAUAACACUGACGUUCAUGCUCGAAAGCGUGGGUAGCAAACAGGAUUAGAUACCUUGGUAGUCCACGCCCUAAACGAUGUCAAUUAGCUGUUGGGCAACUUGAUUGCUUAGUAGCGUAGCUAACGCGUGAAAUUGACCGCCUGGGGAGUACGGUCGCAAGAUUAAAACUCAAAGGAAUUGACGGGGACCCGCACAAGCGGUGGAUGAUGUGGAUUAAUUCGAUGCAACGCGAAGAACCUUACCUGGUCUUGACAU